RNAcentral lists this ribosomal RNA (533 nucleotides) under uncultured fungus. RNAcentral's name for it is "eukaryotic LSU rRNA". The stretch from base 118 to 272 matches the Rfam family "5.8S ribosomal RNA". The record is from RNAcentral. Lineage: Eukaryota; Fungi.
CCCUCUGUAGUUUUAUGGUCUGGGGGACCCUGUCCUCCUUCUGUAGCUCUACGUUUUUACACACACGCUGUAACAAUGUCUUGUGGAAUGCUUUCUGCGUUUAACGCAAUACAAUACAACUUUCAGCAACGGAUCUCUUGGCUCUCGCAUCGAUGAAGAACGCAGCGAAAUGCGAUAAGUAAUGUGAAUUGCAGAAUUCAGUGAAUCAUCGAAUCUUUGAACGCACCUUGCGCCCCUCGGCUAUUCCUUGGGGCAUGCCUGUUUGAGUAUCAUGAACACCUCAACUCUCAUGGUUUGCCCAUGAAGAGCUUGGACUCUGGGGGUUUGCUGGCCAUUUCAGUCGGCUCCUCUCAAAUGAAUUAGCUUGCCAGUGUUUGGUGGCGCUACGGGUGUGAUAACUAUCUACGCUCGCUGUCGUCUGCCAGGUAACCUUCAUCACUGAAGGUUCGCUGGAGCUCACAAACGUCUCUCCUUAGCGAAGACAGCUUUUGAACGUUCGAUCUCAAAUCAGGUAGGACUACCCGCUGAACUUA